Molecule: ribosomal RNA, 253 nt
Filed under: uncultured bacterium
Lineage: Bacteria
Description: partial 16S ribosomal RNA
Rfam family: Bacterial small subunit ribosomal RNA
Source: RNAcentral
UACGGGGGGGGCAAGCGUUGUUCGGAAUUACUGGGCGUAAAGGGCUCGUAGGCGGCCAACUAAGUCAGACGUGAAAUCCCUCGGCUUAACCGAGGAACUGCGUCUGAUACUGGAUGGCUUGAGUUUGGGAGAGGGAUGCGGAAUUCCAGGUGUAGCGGUGAAAUGCGUAGACAUCUGGAGGAACACCGGUGGCGAAGGCGGCAUCCUGGACCAACACUGACGCUGAACAGCGAAAGCCAGGGGAGCAAACGGG